Non-coding RNA from Cucurbita pepo subsp. pepo (vegetable marrow), 218 nucleotides. The record is from RefSeq and is a predicted model, not a curated record. Lineage: Eukaryota; Viridiplantae; Streptophyta; Magnoliopsida; Cucurbitales; Cucurbitaceae.
UGAGAAUUUUGCUCAGCCUGACAAGUUUGAUCCUUCGAGAUUUGAGGUGGCUCAGAAACCCAAUACGUAUAUGCCAUUUGGCAAUGGGACCCACUCCUGUCCGGGAAAUGAAUUGGCCAAGCUGGAGAUGUUGGUUUUACUCCAUCAUUUAACCACAAACUACAGGUGGAAUGUAGUGGGAGAUGAAGAAGGGAUUCAAUAUGGUCCAUUUGCUCUUC